UACAGAGGUCUCAAGCGUUGUUCGGAUUCAUUGGGCGUAAAGGGUGCGUAGGUGGCGCGGUAAGUCGGGUGUGAAAUCUCGGAGCUUAACUCCGAAAUUGCAUUCGAUACUGCCGUGCUUGAGGACUGGAGAGGAGACUGGAAUUCAUGGUGUAGCAGUGAAAUGCGUAGAGAUCAUGAGGAAGACCAGUGGCGAAGGCGGGUCUCUGGACAGUUCCUGACGCUGAGGCACGAAGGCCAGGGGAGCAAACGGG
Molecule: ribosomal RNA, 253 nt
Filed under: uncultured bacterium
Lineage: Bacteria
Description: partial 16S ribosomal RNA
Rfam family: Bacterial small subunit ribosomal RNA
Source: RNAcentral